AAUACCAUGAUGAGGACAUUUUCUGAUUAAUUCUUUAAAUCUCUCCCAUGCAUCAUACAAAGAUUCAUCAUCCUGCUGUUGAAAAGAAUUGAUCUCAUUCCGGAUAUU
This 108-nucleotide small nucleolar RNA is filed under the name Daucus carota subsp. sativus. RNAcentral describes it as "sRNA DCAR_sn00132". It matches the Rfam family "Plant small nucleolar RNA R71". From Rfam's summary of the family: R71 is a member of the C/D box family of snoRNAs containing the C (UGAUGA) and D (CUGA) box motifs. Multiple nearly identical copies of this snoRNA have been identified in Arabidopsis, and it is thought to function as a 2'-O-ribose methylation guide for 18S ribosomal RNA. The record is from RNAcentral. Lineage: Eukaryota; Viridiplantae; Streptophyta; Magnoliopsida; Apiales; Apiaceae.